UAGGGAAUCUUCGGCAAUGGGGGGAACCCUGACCGAGCAACGCCGCGUGAGUGAAGAAGGUUUUCGGAUCGUAAAGCUCUGUUGUUAAGGAAGAACGAGUGUGAGAAUGGAAAGUUCAUGCUGUGACGGUACUUAACCAGAAAGGGACGGCUAACUACGUGCCAGCAGCCGCGGUAAUACGUAGGUCCCGAGCGUUGUCCGGAUUUAUUGGGCGUAAAGCGAGCGCAGGCGGUUAGAUAAGUCUGAAGUUAAAGGCAGUGGCUCAACCAUUGUAGGCUUUGGAAACUGUUUAACUUGAGUGCAGAAGGGGUGAGUGGAAUUCCAUGUGUAGCGGUGAGAUGCGUAGAUAUAUGGAGGAACACCGGUGGCGAAAGCGGCUCUCUGGUCUGUAACUGACGCUGAGGCUCGAAAGCGUGGGGAGCGAACAGG
Molecule: ribosomal RNA, 429 nt
Filed under: Bacteroidota bacterium
Lineage: Bacteria; Pseudomonadati; Bacteroidota
Description: Bacteroidetes bacterium partial 16S ribosomal RNA
Rfam family: Bacterial small subunit ribosomal RNA
Source: RNAcentral